ACCCAGAGUAGUAGCUCCUGGGCUGGGCUGGGGCCAAAGAGGCUGGGAUGGGCGGCGCGCCUUGCUCAGCUGGGAUCAACCAGGCAGAUUUCAGCUUCUGGGAGUGCCGACUUCAGGAGGCAAAGCCCCCUGCAGGAGAGCCUGAGAUGGGCCACCAGCAAAAGAAGGGAGAUGUGCAAGCAGCUGCUAGACCCACUGAAAGAAAGGAGAACGUUUCCCAACUUCAUUCAGAAUGAAAGAACAAGAAAUGCCAAGUGCAUCCCUGUCCUUCAAACAGAACCUUCAAAAAGAAUCUUGAGGGCCUUUGGAAUCAUAAGGCCUUGUUUGGAACUGCUGACACUCAGCAGGCCUGUAACUUUGGGCAAGUGACAGCAACAUUAUUGAAGUGUCACUUCGUCCCUUGUGAAAUGGAUAUAAUGAUUGCCUCCUCGUGGGGCUGUUGGGAAGACGCAGGGAAAGAAAGACUGAGCACAAGGGCAGGUACUGUGGCUUCUCCACAAAUGGUCGUUCUUAUCAGUGUGAGGGCAGACGUUCUUUUCCGUGAUCCAGAACAUCCUCGUUGUCAAAAAGAUGAGUGCGAGGUCACUUUUGAACAAAUGUUAAUGUUUUCUUCACCUCAGCAGCUUCUCACGUGGAUUUGAGAGACAGGCGUGUGUGAUGGCACAGGGCACAGGGCGGCCUUCCCUUCCAACAGGCCCGCUGCGAACGUGGGUUCUCAGGCCUCUUGCCUGAGUUGCCCUGUGCCUCCAAGUGGGAGGACUCCCACACCAGGAAACCGGACCAGACGACUCAAGAUGUCCAUUGCCAGCCUAGGGGCUGGGGGCGGCCCCAUGUUCAGCUGGGUCAAACCUCCCUCUGACACAAGGGAAAAUGUACCAAGUCAGUACCUUCCAGGUUCUGGGGAUCAGAGCAGGAAGAGCUGGUGUUUAAGUAGCAGAGAAGGCAAGAACACCAUACUCACUUCCUGGUUUGUUUGUUUUUUUUUUUUCUGGUUUUUCCACGGAGUGGCAGCCAGGGAAGCCACAGGGCCUGGGGAAUCCCGGCUCAGCUCUUCCUUCCCCACUCCCUUCUGCAACUCUAGUAAUUACAGGAACCAUUCCUUGAACACCUCAGGCCAUGUUCUGGGCUUCCCUUGUGCUCCUGACUUUCAUCCUCAGCUCCCCACCCACAUCCCCCCCCCCCCCACAUCUACUGCCACCUUUCCUGGCUAGGGAAACUCUACUCAGCUCCACUUUCUCUAAGGACUGAAGCAGGGUGCCCACCCCACAGAGAGGCUCACCCCCUCUCUCCGCCACUCUCCGCUUUUUUCAGAGGCUGCCUGUGGCCGCCUGUGCGCCGGGUGGGGAGAAAGGCAGAGACCCACGAUUCAGCUCUGAGCUCUUUGAUUAUAAUCCCUCUCAUACACAUGCCUUGGGUUUAUCCAACAUAUCAUUUUCAACCCUAGCAGCUUCUCUCCAGCAAAGAAAGGCAAACCUCUGAAUCUGUGUCUCCACAGAACUGGAGAACAUCAGAUUGAGAUGCAGGAAACAUCUGGGAACAUCUGGACCAGGCUCUCGCUUUAGAAAUGGGGAAACUGAGGCCAGUGGAGUAGAGGCUUUCACACACAACCCUGUGAUGGUUCUACUUACUGGAGAGACACGUGAGCAUAAGCUGCUGCCAGAAAGAAUUAAAAAUAAUGGUGAUGAGGACAACGAUGGUAACUUCUACUGGAGGGACAAGCAAGUUCCUAGUGCUUUGCUUUGCAUACAUCAACACGUGUGUUUCAUAGCUGGGCAGGAUAGAUCUUGGCCUGACCUUUUAGUCAGGGCCAAGUUGGCCUCGCAUGGGUGCUAAGAAGUCUCCUCUGUGUUGGUAUCUUCUCAUUUCUCUCUAGACUUCUGUUUGUACUCCUCUCCCCACUGGGUACCCACCGCCUACAGGCAUCAGUAAGGCCUUUUCUGCCCUGGACCCUCACCUUCAGAGUGAAUGGCUUCUCGUUCUUGACAAUAUGGACCCCCUCUCAUGGUGGAAGUUGGAUGUAUCCUUUUGCCAGAAGACCUACCUCCCCCCACCCAGGAGUGAGGGUGGGGGAAACAAAGGCCACACACAGGCUACACGCUGGGCGAGUGAUAGAACUGGAAUCCAAAUCCAGCUGGGAGAUGGCACAGAUGGAACGAGAACUGAGAUUUCACUCCAAGGCCACCAUCUCCCGCGUGGGACCGACAGCGUGCCAGCCCAGAAGGCAUGGGGCCGCUGGGAAGUUGUCGAAGGCUCUCGUGCAGGAGACUGACACUGUUGGAGCCGGCUCAAGAAGAAGUUUCCACGGAAGGGGACAAGGGCCCGCUGGCCCCACAGCCCGUGCCUGCCAGGGAUUUAGCAGGAAGAGCUGGCUUUUGUUCUAGAUGAAUCGGCCCAGCUGUUUCUGAAAGCCCAGCCCCACUCUUCUGGGCUCAGCGGACCAGAAGGCAUUCAGCUGUCCCCGCAGGUCACCAGUGGGGUGGGAGAGUGCAGUACUUUGUCCACUGGACUGCACCGUUUACAGAGAAUUAUAUUAUCACAACACGGAACAAUGGGCUUUUUUUUUUUUUUUUAAUAAUGUUGUGCUGCAUCUUGGGUAGCAAGUGGUAGUGGAAACACAAUCAGGACAGCAAAGCGUUGCCCUCUUUGGAAUUUGGAGAAACAAAAAUAUAAAUAAACACAUACAUACAUA
Long non-coding RNA from Lynx canadensis (Canada lynx), 2689 nucleotides. RefSeq lists it as uncharacterized. The record is from RefSeq and is a predicted model, not a curated record. Lineage: Eukaryota; Metazoa; Chordata; Mammalia; Carnivora; Felidae. The transcript is spliced from 3 exons.